Molecule: non-coding RNA, 1437 nt
Organism: Peromyscus maniculatus bairdii (prairie deer mouse)
Lineage: Eukaryota; Metazoa; Chordata; Mammalia; Rodentia; Cricetidae
Source: RefSeq, a predicted model, not a curated record
CUCUGCCAUGGAAGGGUCCACAGAAGUCAUAGGUUAGUCUGUUUCUUUCGUUUGCUUUGGAGACAGGGUCUCAUGCAGUCCAGACUGGCCUUGAACUCCUGCCUCGGCCUCCCGAGUCCUGGGACUGCAGGUUUCCCCAGAUCUGAGACUGGCCUGUCCACUUGGAUCUGGGUUACCAAGAUGGUGGAGGAGCCUUCUGCAGGGCUGCGGAACCAGCACUGAAAGAGAACAAAAGCCUCUCACAGACUGGGAAUGCGGCUCGGGGCUCAGCUCGCAGAAUGCUUGCCUGGUGUGCAUGAAGUGCUGACCCUGGUCCCCAGCACGGCAUAAACCCAUAAACUGAGCAAGCUCGUGCAUGCCUGAGAUCCAGCCAUCCAGAGACAGGAAGAUCAGAAGUUCGGUGUCAUUCCCAGCUGCUUAAGGAGUUCAAGGCUACCCUGGAAUACCUGAGUCCCAGGAAGAGGAACUAAGCCAGGUAUGAUAGCACAUGCCUGUAAUACCAGCACUAGGGAGGCUGAGGAGCAAGGGCUGCAAUAUAUAAGAAGUACCAGGCCAGCCAAGACAAUUAUUAAGCAAUGUCCUGUCUCAAAACAGACAGAUAAUAAUAAAAAAAAAACCUAAGGAAAACUGUAAGAUGGGUGUGGUGGCACACACCUGUAGUCACAGCAUUCAGGAGGCAGAGGAAGGAGGGAUGCUUGAGCUGAGUGUUCAAGACCAGCCUGGACUGCUGGAAGUUUUCUUACUGAUCUGACAAGAUAGCUGGCUAAAGGAACUUAAGAGAAUACGAUUUAUUUAUUUUUACUUAUUAUUAUUAUUUGGUUUUUAUGAGACAGGGUUUCUCUGUGUAACAGCCUGGCUGUCCUGGAACUCACGCUGUAGACCAGGCUGGCCUUGAACUCAGAGCUCUGUCUGCCUCUGCCUCCCGAGUGUGGGGAUUAAGGUGUGCACCACCAUGUAGACUAUCUUGGCUCACGAUUUAAGGAACACAGUCCAUCAUAGUGGAAAAUUUAUGGCGGUAGAAACAUGCUUACAUCUGGAUGGGCUUGGGCGCAGAAAGGUGAAUGCCUGUGCUCUACGGGCUUUGUCCUUUCCCUGUGUUUAUUGAGUCCAGGACCCCAGCCCACUUGAUGGUGCCACUGACAUUUUAGGUAGCUCUCCCACCCUCAGUUAAAACUCUCUGGAAAUGCCCUCACAGACCUGCCUAGAGAUACGUGUGCUGGAAGAUUCACCACCACAACCACAUAGCAAGACCCUCAUCUUGUAUCCUCACAUCGACUAUGUCGCUGAGAAUUACCUGGAUCUCCUGGUCUUGCUGUCUCCCCUCAAAUUCUGGGAUGAUGGGCACAGCACCCCCAUUUGUGUGGUGAUAGGGAUCAAACUCUUGGCUGGAGAUGAACUGAGAGCUCUGAGUGCUAGGCAAGAACUCUCUGAGCUACA